RNAcentral lists this unclassified non-coding RNA (350 nucleotides) under soil metagenome. RNAcentral's name for it is "partial contains 5.8S ribosomal RNA, internal transcribed spacer 2, and large subunit ribosomal RNA". The stretch from base 1 to 120 matches the Rfam family "5.8S ribosomal RNA", at positions 35 to 154 of the family's 154-position model. The record is from RNAcentral.
GAUGAAGAACGUAGCGAAAUGCGAUAAGUAAUGUGAAUUGCAGAAUUCAGUGAAUCAUCGAAUCUUUGAACGCACAUUGCGCCCGCCAGUAUUCUGGCGGGCAUGCCUGUUCGAGCGUCAUUUCAACCCUCAAGCCCAGCUUGGUGUUGGGGAUCGGCACAGGCGCUCUCGGGCGCCCGCCGUCCCCUAAAUCUAGUGGCGGUCCCGCUGCAGCCUCCUCUGCGUAGUAGUUUUCUCCUCGCAAGGGCAGCUCGGUGGCGACCUCGCCGUAAAACCCCCAACUUCUGAAAGGUUGACCUCGAAUCAGGUAGGAAUACCCGCUGAACUUAAGCAUAUCAAUAAGCGGAGGA